Non-coding RNA from Myodes glareolus (Bank vole), 844 nucleotides. NCBI's taxonomy places the organism in Eukaryota, Metazoa, Chordata, Mammalia, Rodentia, Cricetidae. The record is from RefSeq and is a predicted model, not a curated record.
CGACAUCCGCGGUCAGCAGGCAUGAGGCUGUGAUUCAAGACGAGAGACCCAACGCCUCCUCUGCACAUGUGGAGAGGAUCCAGCAGGAGGCAGGAAGCAGGGUUCCUGAAAACCAAGCCGCUGAGAGAGAACAAUGUGCUGAGGAAAUGUGGGCUCCUGAAGGUGCAAAGUCAGUAGAGCAGUAUAUGAGGGACAGCCUGGGUGCCCACCCAACUCCUAACCCUGGAGGCUGAGCACUGCGCGAACACUCAGGAGCUUUAGGGGGAGCAGUUGGUCCCCAGAAAGGCAUCAGCCCAGACCCUUCCUCUGUUUUUCCCUUCUCUGCACGUCUCUGGUUUCACUCCACCUGGGUGUCAGUCAGGGAUACAUGGAAUAGAACCGCACCCUGGGCUCGCUGGAAUGCAGAGGAAAGGUGUGUACCCAUGGAGGUCGUUGUCACACUCAGAAGCCAACACUGUGCUCUCGUGGUGCUAGCCAUGUGGUCUGAGGCUGGAGCUGAUGUUAAACUACAAGGAUUUGCAUUGAACGGACACAAAGAGAGAGCAAGUCACGGCACAUGGCCAAAUGAAAGAGUGAUGUUCUGGCGAAUUUAGCCGAAAUAAUUUACUGCUAUAUAAAAGUGGGGAAGUGGAAGGUACAGCCUUUGACCAAUAAAUCCCUGCUGCCCGUGAAACCCUUAUCUGGUCCCCUCCGAUAUAUUCCACACAAGGAAGCCAUCAUCAUUGGCUCUGGUUUGUUAUUUGUAAAGCUUGAUCUUCUGCACCCGGUGUCCUAAAUAUGGGUAAUUAGCAUCAGUUUAUCGCACUUCUGCAUAUUUCCCCCACUCUCCAAACACGCGUGCUUC